This 495-nucleotide ribosomal RNA is filed under the name uncultured bacterium. RNAcentral describes it as "partial 16S ribosomal RNA". It matches the Rfam family "Bacterial small subunit ribosomal RNA", at positions 30 to 507 of the family's 1533-position model. The record is from RNAcentral.
UGAACGCUGGCGGCGUGCCUAAUACAUGCAAGUCGAGCGAACGGACGAGAAGCUUGCUUCUCUGUUGUUAGCGGCGGACGGGUGAGUAACACGUGGAUAACCUACCUAUAAGACUGGGAUAACUUCGGGAAACCGGAGCUAAUACCGGAUAAUAUUUUGAACCGCAUGGUUCAAAAGUGAAAGACGGUCUUGCUGUCACUUAUAGAUGGAUCCGCGCUGCAUUAGCUAGUUGGUAAGGUAACGGCUUACCAAGGCAACGAUGCAUAGCCGACCUGAGAGGGUGAUCGGCCACACUGGAACUGAGACACGGUCCAGACUCCUACGGGAGGCAGCAGUAGGGAAUCUUCCGCAAUGGGCGAAAGCCUGACGGAGCAACGCCGCGUGAGUGAUGAAGGUCUUCGGAUCGUAAAACUCUGUUAUUAGGGAAGAACAUAUGUGUAAGUAACUGUGCACAUCUUGACGGUACCUAAUCAGAAAGCCACGGCUAACUACGUG